Molecule: long non-coding RNA, 678 nt
Organism: Neocloeon triangulifer
Lineage: Eukaryota; Metazoa; Arthropoda; Insecta; Ephemeroptera; Baetidae
Exons: 3
Source: RefSeq, a predicted model, not a curated record
UAUUUUUGCUUGUCGUCUGAAAGUUCGGUUAGGACUAAAAUCGGCGAAUUUUGUGCAGAUUCGCCCGUUUGCGAACUCAUAAUUGACUCCAGAUCGUCGGCCGAAAUGGUGAUGAGGCGUUCGGCCGCCGAAAUGCGAGUCUGCCGACGCCGAGGAGGUGAUUUUUGUGCGGCGACCACUGCAACGACCGAAUCGGUGGGCGAAAGGGGCCUCAAUCGCCACCAGCCCUUUUCGGGGCCUCGGGCAAGUCGGGCACCCCCGCCUUCGACCAGUCCCAGCAACAGUCUGCCUUCUCAGGUUUUAUUCGUCCCCCGUUGCACCGCCAGCUUUGCCCAAUCUGACCUUCGGAGUCUGUGGGGCACCGAACCAACCCAGUCGUGGGCCUCUUCGGGGCCAACAUGAACCUCCUAGUGGGGAUGGACACGAUUGACACGAAUGCGGUCCAGCCCAUCUUGCAAAUCGAUCUCUACUAUAGCAGCGCACCUGCACGAACGAGUGCGAGAACAAGUCAGCCUGCAAGGGACCCCAGCAGAGGGCCUGGGUGCUAAGUCGUCCCUGUCCAAGGUGUGUCCUUUUGGCAACUCGUCCUGGGGCAAAACAAAUUCCUCUUCGGAGCCACUGCCGACAACAUCCAUAAAAAGAUCCCAUUUGUUUUAAAGUUAUAAAAUAGAAAUUGUA